This 420-nucleotide ribosomal RNA is filed under the name uncultured prokaryote. Its description in RNAcentral is "bacterial SSU rRNA". It matches the Rfam family "Bacterial small subunit ribosomal RNA", at positions 355 to 774 of the family's 1533-position model. The record is from RNAcentral.
UAAGGAAUAUUGCUCAAUGGGAGAAAUCCUGAAGCAGCAACGCCGCGUGGAGGAUGAAGGGCUUUCAGCUUGUAAACUCCAGUAACGAAGGAAAAAAUUCCCAUUAGAUGGGAAAUGAUGGUACUUCUAAAGUAAGCCCCGGCUAACUACGUGCCAGCAGCCGCGGUAAUACGUAGGGCGCAAGCGUUGUCCGGAUUUACUGGGUGUAAAGGGUGCUCAGGCGGAUUUGUAAGUCAGAGGUGAAAUCUCACAGCUUAACUGUGAAACUGCCUUUGAUACUGCAAGUCUAGAGUAUGGAAGAGAGUGAUGGAAUGUCUGGUGUAGCAGUGAAAUGCGUAGAGAUCAGAUAGAACAACAAUGGCGAAGGCAGUCACUUGUUCCAUUACUGACGCUAAAGCACGAAAGCGUGGGUAGCAAACA